CCUACGGGUGGCUGCAGUGGGGAAUAUUGGACAAUGGGGGGAACCCUGAUCCAGCGCCUCCGCGUGAGUGAAGAAGUAUUUCGGUAUGUAAAACUCUAUCAGCAGGGACGAAAAUGCCGGUACCUGACUAAGAAGCCCCGGCUAACUACGUGCCAGCCGCCGCGGUAAUACGUAGGGUGCACGCGUUAUCCGGAUGUACUGGGUGUAAAGGGCGCGUAGACGGUGCAGCAAGUCUGAUGUGAAAGGUCGGGGCCCAACCCCGGGACUGCAUUGGAAACUGUUGAACUGGAGUACAGGAGAGGUAAGCGGAAUUCCUAGUGUAGCGGUGAAAUGCGUAGAUAUGAGGAGGAACACCAGGGGCGAAGGCGGCUUACUGGACUGUAACUGACGUUGAGGCUCGAAAGCGUGGGGAGCAAACAGGAUUAGAUACCCGUGUAGUC
RNAcentral lists this ribosomal RNA (440 nucleotides) under uncultured bacterium. Its description in RNAcentral is "partial 16S ribosomal RNA". It matches the Rfam family "Bacterial small subunit ribosomal RNA", at positions 338 to 795 of the family's 1533-position model. The record is from RNAcentral.